Molecule: ribosomal RNA, 468 nt
Filed under: uncultured bacterium
Lineage: Bacteria
Description: partial 16S ribosomal RNA
Rfam family: Bacterial small subunit ribosomal RNA
Source: RNAcentral
GACGAACGCUGGCGGCGUGCUUAACACAUGCAAGUCGAACGGAAAGGCCCUGCUUUUGUGGGGUGCUCGAGUGGCGAACGGGUGAGUAACACGUGAGUAACCUGCCAUUGACUUUGGGAUAACUUCAGGAAACUGGGGCUAAUACCGGAUAGGAGCUCCUGCUGCAUGGUGGGGGUUGGAAAGUUUCGGCGGUUGGGGAUGGACUCGCGGCUUAUCAGCUUGUUGGUGGGGUAGUGGCUUACCAAGGCUUUGACGGGUAGCCGGCCUGAGAGGGUGACCGGCCACAUUGGGACUGAGAUACGGCCCAGACUCCUACGGGAGGCAGCAGUGGGGAAUAUUGCACAAUGGGCGGAAGCCUGAUGCAGCAACGCCGCGUGCGGGAUGACGGCCUGCGGGUUGUAAACCGCUUUCGCCUGUGACGAAGCGUGAGUGACGGUAAUGGGUAAAGAAGCACCGGCUAACUACGUG